GUGAGGAAUAUUGCGCAAUGGAGGCAACUCUGACGCAGCCAUGCCGCGUGCAGGAAGAAGGCGCUACGCGUUGUAAACUGCUUUUAACCGGGAAGAAACCCCAGGACGUGUCCUGGGUUGACGGUACCGGAGGAAUAAGCACCGGCUAACUUCGUGCCAGCAGCCGCGGUAAUACGAAGGGUGCAAGCGUUAUCCGGAUUCAUUGGGUUUAAAGGGUGCGUAGGCGGGGCGUUAAGUCAGUGGUGAAAUCCUGCAGCUUAACUGUAGACUUGCCAUUGAUACUGGCGCUCUUGAGUGCGCUUGAAGUGGGCGGAAUGUGCCGUGUAGCGGUGAAAUGCUUAGAGAUGGCACAGAACACCAAUUGCGAAGGCAGCUCACUAAGGCGAUACUGACGCUGAGGCACGAAAGCGUGGGGAUCGAACAGGAUUAGAAACCCUGGUAGUCC
RNAcentral lists this ribosomal RNA (445 nucleotides) under uncultured bacterium. RNAcentral describes it as "partial 16S ribosomal RNA". It matches the Rfam family "Bacterial small subunit ribosomal RNA", at positions 354 to 796 of the family's 1533-position model. The record is from RNAcentral.